AUGUGACCAUUGAUCGAAUAUGUAAUUACUCGGGUCUUGAAAUGUAUGGAAAAUUAGUAAGCAGCUCCUUUGUUGAAUGUUAUUUGUGUUGUGCGUGACAUCCCAGACAAAGCACCUGAGCAGUGAUGUUCAGAUCUUUUAAGUCUUCCAGGUUUCCCUGCCAAAGCCUAACCUUAAUGCAAAGCUGGGAAUUGCAUUGUUUUAGCUGUGAUAUACCUUUGAAGAAAUGUAUGGGUUGUGCAUUCAAAUAUCAAAGGGGCUUUCUCAGUUUGUCACACUUUUUAGUUUUUUUUCUCUGUUAGCCUGGAGCAGGAAACCUAAGUGCGUAUAUAUCUUUAUCUUUUGUUUUUUUCUUCCUUCUCAGUUUCUUUUUUUUCUGAUUCUAAUUUACAUGGAAUAUUUGGUUUGUUGAAAUUUGUUGCUACUUGGGUAUGCAUUCCUGCUGAUCUUGCUUCAUAAAAUACAGAAUCAAGCUAUAAAGGCAUAUUUGAUAAUUCAGUCUAGAGAGACUCUGUUUUUAAGACGCCCUCAGAUUUUCAUUGAAAGGAAGUCUGUCAAGGCAUUUAAAUGUACGUUGUGGUCAAAGUGUUUAAUUCUAGUCUUCUAAUUAAAAUCUACUGCUAAGGCAGUAGAUCAAGGUGGAUGGAUGUGACUAUAGAUCUGGUUCUGGUGUGGAUUCAAGAGUUUGCUCCUCACAUGAGUAUUGCCUAAACUAUGGUGAUAAGAAGCAGUUGUGUCGGUCAGAAUCAUGCUUUAAAGGUGUAAUUUAUUGUUGGAUUAUAUAUUCUGUUUUAAAAUUUUUCUGUUACUAAGUUACAUUAAUGUCUGGAGCUUUUUAAAAAUCUGAAUUAAGGUUUUGUAUGCUGUCUUUC
Molecule: long non-coding RNA, 872 nt
Filed under: Bos taurus (domestic cattle)
Lineage: Eukaryota; Metazoa; Chordata; Mammalia; Artiodactyla; Bovidae
Description: long non-coding RNA NONBTAT017789
Source: RNAcentral